GGAGUUUAGCUCAGUGGUAGAGCACUUGCCUAGCAAGCACAAGGCCCUGGGUUCGGUCCCCAGCUCUG
Molecule: transfer RNA, 68 nt
Filed under: Rattus norvegicus (Norway rat)
Lineage: Eukaryota; Metazoa; Chordata; Mammalia; Rodentia; Muridae
Rfam family: tRNA
About the family: Transfer RNA (tRNA) molecules are approximately 80 nucleotides in length. Their secondary structure includes four short double-helical elements and three loops (D, anti-codon, and T loops). Further hydrogen bonds mediate the characteristic L-shaped molecular structure. tRNAs have two regions of fundamental functional importance: the anti-codon, which is responsible for specific mRNA codon recognition, and the 3' end, to which the tRNAs corresponding amino acid is attached (by aminoacyl-tRNA synthetases). tRNAs cope with the degeneracy of the genetic code in two manners: having more than one tRNA (with a specific anti-codon) for a particular amino acid; and 'wobble' base-pairing, i.e. permitting non-standard base-pairing at the 3rd anti-codon position.
Source: Rfam by way of RNAcentral